Molecule: ribosomal RNA, 459 nt
Filed under: uncultured bacterium
Lineage: Bacteria
Description: partial 16S ribosomal RNA
Rfam family: Bacterial small subunit ribosomal RNA
Source: RNAcentral
CCUACGGGUGGCAGCAGUGAGGAAUAUUGGUCAAUGGGCGUAAGCCUGAACCAGCCAAGUCGCGUGAGGGACGACUGCCCUAUGGGUUGUAAACCUCUUUUAUCCGGGGAUAAAGGUGUCCACGUGUGGGUGUUUGCAGGUACCUCAUGAAUAAGGAUCGGCUAAUUCCGUGCCAGCAGCCGCGGUAAUACGGAGGGUGCGGGCGUUAUCCGGAUUUAUUGGGUUUAAAGGGAGCGUAGGCGGGUUGUAAAGUCAGCGGUAAAAUUUGGGGGCUCAACCGUAGGGUGCCGGUGAAACUGGGGACCUUGAGUGCGCGGAAGGUAGGCGGAAUGCGUGGUGUAGCGGUGAAAUGCUUAGAUAUCACGAAGAACCCCGAUUGCGAAGGCAGCGUGCCGGAGCGAGACUGACGCUGAAGCGCGAAAGCGCGGGUAUCGAACAGGAUUAGAUACCCGAGUAGUC